AACAUCACAGCAGGUCUAAUUCUAGUGCAGACUGAUCAUCCUUCAGUUGCCUGACACCCAGCCUGCAGAAUACGUUCAGAAUUAAGCAGAGACCUGGGCUGUAAAGAACAUCAGGUGUGGAAGAUUUCCCAGUUGAUUUGCAAGAAACCUGGGGAUUUAGUUGACUCUCAUUUUGGCCACUCAGAUGUUUGUGCGUCAAGAGAAUCUAUGAGCCAAAAGCAACUCCUCCAUCUUCCACUGGAGACUGCUUUUCUCUGCAAGGUAGCCCCUAAGAACAACAGUGAGACUUGAAGUUUUCCAAGGAAUGAAGUUAAAAUAAAUGAAUUCACUGCUUGAAAGUGAUGGUGUUACCCUGCAGGACAAUCAGUCUAGAGCCUGAUCUGACAAGAAGGCAGAAGAUUGGUGCUGAUGCUGAGCCGCCUGAGGAUGCUGCAAUUCUAUAGGACAGUCCUUCCUGGAGGCUUGGCUAUGGAACAAAUCAGACGCGCACAUCCCCUCUGAACUCUGAGUGGGGUCCGGGACAGUGAGCGGCCAUCUUGAGUGUCUGCUGUAUCCAGAAACUAUGGAAGUGGAAAAUACCUGACCGUCUUGACAGUUCUACAAGUGCAAUCCCUAACAUUGUCUAUCACGCCUGCACAGACACGUGUCUAUUGUAGAAUCACAAAGGAGCCAGCCACAGCCCUUUCAGUUCCAAAAGGCUGACCACCCGGAGCUUUCUUCUUAUAGCUGGUCGAGCUAGCAGCCCUUUGGCUCACACCUUCUCACUUAUGAGUGGUGAGCUAAGAUGUGUUUAAACUGCAGUAACAUUUACUCCCACCGGAACAGCAGAGAAGGAAGUCGCACGCAGCUGUUGGGGAGGAGGGUCGAAAACAGGAAGAUGGCGUUUUCUCCCAGUACUUUCAUGGUUGAUGAAUGAGAUCUGGGUUUCAGAGGAUAAAAAUCUCAAUUCUGAGGAAUUGGUAUUGCAUGGAUAUUUCUCAUGAAUAAUUCAAAUACUGACCUCAGACCUGUGUAUAUGGACGUACAAACACUAAGGGAGCUAAAAAUAAAACAAAGAAGCAGAGAAAGAAAAGGCGUGUUAACCGCGGCGAUCCAGCAUCAGUGUUCGUGAUGGUUAACUGAAGGGCCCGGAUAGCUGAUAAACAUGGUCUCUGGGUCCAUCUGGAGAUGAGCAGUGACCAAAUCACAGCACAGAGAAGAUCUGCCUUCCGGAGGGCACCGCCCAAUCUGUUGAACGGGGCUGUGAGGGUAAAUUCUCUGUCUAAUCUCCUGCUCUUAGGCAAUGAGCUCCUGGCUGUUGUUGUUGUUGUUAUUAUUAUUAUUACUCCAUGGCAUAAGUCAGAGCCCACUACCCUUGCCUGGGCAGAGCAGCAUUGAUCCCGUAGUUCUCAGGUAUUCACAUUUAAGCCUGUUCUUACAAGAAAAUUCCCAUCUCUCCCCUUUCUCAUUUAAAAAAAAAAAAAAAAAAAAAGCAUGUUUUUUUUCUUUAGUGUAGGCUGCUCUGGAAGAUGUUCUGUAGCUCAGGCUAGACUUGAAUUUAUGAUUCGCCUUCUAUCUCAGCCUCCUGAGGGCCAGGAUUACAAACAUGAGCCACGAUGCUUGGUUUGUGCCUUUAUCUGUUCUCAACUAUUUGCCUUUCUGCUUCCCACCAGGCGGCAAUGGGACAAGGUGACCUUUGCCAGAUGUCAGCGACUUGGUUUUGACCUUUUCUGCUGCCCAAAUUGUGAGACGCACAUUAUUAAAAAAAAAAAAAAAAGACCUUU
Mus musculus (house mouse) is the source of this 1763-nucleotide long non-coding RNA. RefSeq annotates it as predicted gene 13853. The record is from RefSeq and is marked validated. NCBI's taxonomy places the organism in Eukaryota, Metazoa, Chordata, Mammalia, Rodentia, Muridae. The transcript has 5 exons.